RNAcentral lists this non-coding RNA (169 nucleotides) under uncultured Haemophilus sp. Its description in RNAcentral is "FMN riboswitch (RFN element)". It matches the Rfam family "FMN riboswitch aptamer (RFN element)". Rfam says of the family: The RFN element is a highly conserved domain that is found frequently in the 5'-untranslated regions of prokaryotic mRNAs that encode for flavin mononucleotide (FMN) biosynthesis and transport proteins. This element is a metabolite-dependent riboswitch that directly binds FMN in the absence of proteins. The record is from RNAcentral. Lineage: Bacteria; Pseudomonadati; Pseudomonadota; Gammaproteobacteria; Pasteurellales; Pasteurellaceae.
AUUCUCAGGGCAGGGUGAAAUUCCCUACCGGUGGUAACAGCCCACGAGCACUUAAAAGUGCGGUCAAUUUUGAUUAAGUUUUUACAAAAUUGUUUCGCUUUUUCCUUUUAAGGUUAGCAGAUUUGGUGAAAUUCCAAAGCCGACAGUAUAGUCUGGAUGAAAGAGAAUA